UAUUUAAGGUUUGGUCUGCUCAAUGAGGAUUUAAAUUGCCGCGGUAUUUUGACCGUGCAAAGGUAGCAUAAUAAUUAGUUUUUUUAUUGAAAGCUGGAAUGAAGGAUUGGACGAGAAAAUUACUGUCUCUGAGGAAUUUAUUUUUUAAUUUAACUUUCAAGUUAAAAGGCUUGGAUUUUACUUAAAGACGAGAAGACCCUAUAGAGUUUUAUAUCUAUUUUAGUUAAGAGUUUUUGGUUAUUAAAUUUCUUUACUGUUUUAGUUAUUUAGUUGGGGUGACUUGAAGAUUUAAUAAACUCUUUAUUUUUUUAUCAUUGAUUUGUGAAUGUAUAAUCUAAUUUUUUUAAAUUUAAAAUAAAUUACCUUAGGGAUAACAGCGUAAUUUCUUUUUAGAGUUCUUAUUGAAGGAAAAGUUUGCGACCUCGAUGUUGGAUUAAAAUUAAUUUUGGGUGUAGAAGCUUGAAAAUUGGGUCUGUUCGACCUUUGAAAUUUUACAUGAUCUGAGU
RNAcentral lists this ribosomal RNA (506 nucleotides) under Nothodes parvulus. RNAcentral describes it as "partial 16S ribosomal RNA". It matches the Rfam family "Archaeal large subunit ribosomal RNA", at positions 1936 to 2679 of the family's 2987-position model. The record is from RNAcentral. Lineage: Eukaryota; Metazoa; Arthropoda; Insecta; Coleoptera; Elateridae.